ACCUUAACCCUCCAGAACACCCCCUCCCUCCUCUGGUCCUCCCCCUCCCGCCGCCGCCGCCGCCGCCGCCAGAGCCGAGCAUGCCGGGCGCCUUCCACUCGCUCCUCCUGCCCCUCCAGUGGAAGCGCAAACCCAAGCGCCGCCGCAGCCGCAGCCACUCAAAGGAGGGCAACAACCGCAACAAACCAAAGAGCCACCUCGCCGGCGCCGGCGCCGCCGGGGACCCCUCCUUCAACCUGAAGGCCUCGGCGUCCUCCUUCCCCCGGGACAUCGGCUGCCUCGUCCAGCCGCUCGGCAACCUCCUCCUCUCGGCCUCCCCGGGCGCCAACCUCCGGGACGCGGGGCUCGGCGCGCUCCGCCCGCUCCCGGACGACCUGCUCCUCGACGUCCUGGGCCUCCUCCCGGCGCGCGCCCUCGCCGCGCUCUCGGCCGCGUCCAAGGCGCUCUACGUCGUCGCCGCGCACGACCCGCUCUGGCGCGCCCUCGUCCUCGGCGAGCUCGGCGGCGCGUUCGACUUCGCCGGGUCCUGGCGCGCCACCUACGUCGCCGCAGCCUCCGGCGGCCGGCCCCACCUCAUCCCCCCGCGCGCGCUCAGGAUCAGGGGCUUCUACUCCGACUACCUCUUCCAGAGCUGGCUCUGCGCCAACAUGGAGAUGCGGCACGAGUGGCUCGCCCGGGACAACAUCGAGCGCCGCCGCGGCGUGUCCGUCGAGCAGUUCAUCGCCGAGGUCGAGGAGCCCAACAGGCCGGUGCUGCUGGAGGGGUGCCUGGACAGCUGGCCGGCGUUGCAGAAAUGGAGCAGGGAGUACCUGCUGGAGAUCUCGGCGGGUAAGGAGUUUGCGGUUGGGCCGGUGAGCAUGACACUGGAUAGGUACUUCAGGUAUGCAGACAAUGUGCAGGAGGAGAGGCCAUUGUACCUCUUUGAUGCCAAGUUUGCUGAGAAGGUGCCGGAGAUGGGGAGGGACUAUGAGGUGCCGGUGUACUUCAGGGAGGACCUGUUUAGUGUUCUUGGGGAGGAGAGGCCGGAUUACAGAUGGGUUAUCAUUGGACCAGCAGGGUCAGGUUCAUCGUUCCAUGUGGAUCCUAACUCAACAUCGGCAUGGAAUGCUAUCAUAAAGGGAGCCAAGAAGUGGGUGAUGUUCCCACCUGAGGUGGUGCCGCCAGGUGUCCACCCGAGUGCAGAUGGAGCAGAGGUCACCAGCCCUGUAUCAAUCAUGGAGUGGUUCAUGAACUUCUAUGGGGCUUGUAAGACUUGGGAGAAGAGGCCCAUCGAGUGCAUAUGCCGAGCUGGGGAGGUUGUUUUUGUGCCAAAUGGAUGGUGGCAUUUGGUGAUCAAUCUUGAGGAGUCCAUUGCCAUUACCCAGAAUUAUGUGAGCAGGAGGAAUUUGUUAAACGUUCUUGAUUUUCUCAAGAGGCCAAAUGCAAGCGAACUUGUCUCGGGGACCAAGGACAGAGUGAACCUGCAUGACAAGUUCCGUGGUGCCAUCGACGCUGCUCACCCUGGCAUGAUCAAUCAGCUUCAGUUUGAGGCACAGCAGAAGGCUGCUGCUCGAAAGAAGAAAGCAUCAUUCUGGGACACUGCUGUCGAUGCCAAGAGCGGAGGAUUCAAGUUUUCUUUCUGAGAAAAGCAAAUGGAAAUGCAGCAUUUUCCUUCUAUAUGCCCAGAAGUCCACGGUACCAUGUCAACAAUAAGCAGUGGUAGAUGAUGUACCUAUUGACAACGAGGCGCUGAUGGUGAUCUUCUCAAUCUUGAGGAUUUGCCGGCUCAAUCUCUCGAAUAUGCUCAUAGGGGUAGGAUUGGGUGUGUGUAUUCAUAGAGGUGAGUGUGCAUAUGUGUAUGCGAGUGUAUGUGUAUGUACUGUGUUUCCAUAAAAAAAUAUCCAUAAGUUGCUAUAGCUAAAUAUUAAUAGUAUUA
Panicum hallii is the source of this 1915-nucleotide RNA transcript. It is a transcript of the gene named F-box protein At5g06550, with no coding region annotated. The record is from RefSeq and is a predicted model, not a curated record. The transcript is spliced from 4 exons. NCBI's taxonomy places the organism in Eukaryota, Viridiplantae, Streptophyta, Magnoliopsida, Poales, Poaceae.